CUUUCCUAUAAAGUGUAUAGCACCAUUUUGCUGUGUGUCACUACUUACACUAGUUCACGCAAUACUUAAUUUUAUCACGGUGUGAAAACAUAGCACCAAUACUAUUUUGGGUUAAUGUGGAUAAUAUAAGGUAUAGGUAUAGGUAUAGGUAUAUUUUAGCACGGUUUUAGUAUACUUUAGGCAAUAAUCAUUUGCACAAUUUAAUGUUUUCUAUUUUUAU
This is a non-coding RNA of Pelobates cultripes (western spadefoot toad), 220 nucleotides long. NCBI's taxonomy places the organism in Eukaryota, Metazoa, Chordata, Amphibia, Anura, Pelobatidae. The record is from the annotation of a GenBank genome assembly.